RNAcentral lists this ribosomal RNA (468 nucleotides) under uncultured bacterium. RNAcentral's name for it is "partial 16S ribosomal RNA". It matches the Rfam family "Bacterial small subunit ribosomal RNA", at positions 28 to 507 of the family's 1533-position model. The record is from RNAcentral.
GACGAACGCUGGCGGCGUGCUUAACACAUGCAAGUCGAACGGAAAGGCCCUGCUUUUGUGGGGUGCUCGAGUGGCGAACGGGUGAGUAACACGUGAGUAACCUGCCCUUGACUUUGUGAUAACUUCAGGAAACUGGGGCUAAUACCGGAUAGGAGCUCCUGCUGCAUGGUGGGGGUUGGAAAGUUUCGGCGGUUGGGGAUGGACUCGCGGCUUAUCAGCUUGUUGGUGGGGUAGUUGCUUACCAAGGCUUUGACGGGUAGCCGGCCUGAGAGGGUGACCGGCCACAUUGGGACUGAGAUACGGCCCAGACUCCUACGGGAGGCAGCGGUGGGGAAUAUUGCACAAUGGGCGGAAGCCUGAUGCAGCAACGCCGCGUGCGGGAUGACGGCCUUCGGGUUGUAAACCGCUUUCGCCUGUGACGAAGCGUGAGUGACGGUAAUGGGUAAAGAAGCACCGGCUAACUACGUG